GAGUUUGAUCUUGGCUCAGAUUGAACGCUGGCGGCAUGCUUUACACAUGCAAGUCGAGCGGGGUGGAGGGGCAACCCUUCAUUCAGCGGCGGACGGGUGAGUAACACAUCGGAACGUAUCCUGCAGUGGGGGACAACCCAGCGAAAGCUGGGCUAAUACCGCAUAUGCUCGGGAGAGGAAAGCAGGGGACCGCAAGGCCUUGUGCUGGAGGAGCGGCCGAUGUCCGAUUAGCUAGUUGGUGGGGUAAAGGCCUACCAAGGCGACGAUCGGUAGCUGGUCUGAGAGGAUGAUCAGCCACACUGGGACUGAGACACGGCCCAGACUCCUACGGGAGGCAGCAGUGGGGAAUUUUGGACAAUGGGGGCAACCCUGAUCCAGCCAUGCCGCGUGC
RNAcentral lists this ribosomal RNA (391 nucleotides) under uncultured beta proteobacterium. Its description in RNAcentral is "bacterial SSU rRNA". It matches the Rfam family "Bacterial small subunit ribosomal RNA", at positions 9 to 404 of the family's 1533-position model. The record is from RNAcentral. Lineage: Bacteria; Pseudomonadati; Pseudomonadota; Betaproteobacteria.